UUAGUUGGUUUUUGUUUUGUU
Molecule: non-coding RNA, 21 nt
Filed under: Caenorhabditis elegans
Lineage: Eukaryota; Metazoa; Nematoda; Chromadorea; Rhabditida; Rhabditidae
Source: RNAcentral